Molecule: long non-coding RNA, 651 nt
Organism: Musa acuminata AAA Group (dessert banana)
Lineage: Eukaryota; Viridiplantae; Streptophyta; Magnoliopsida; Zingiberales; Musaceae
Exons: 3
Source: RefSeq, a predicted model, not a curated record
UCUCCGUUCUUCUUUGUCUAUCUUCCGCUUUAUUUCAUAGAUUUGAUCCAUCACCUUUAACACUCCAUCAAUUUGAUAGUCUUCUCCCUUCGUUCUUCCCAAGUUUAUCCAAAUUUCUUUCUUUAAAUGGAUAUGCUACCCAAAACAUUCCCUAAUAUUCUAGACCGAUCUAUUUAUUUGUACUGUUAUAGUCACAUGCGCCUGGUAACAUCUACUUCUCUGUUACCUUAUCCGCCCGAAGGGCUUACGAGCGUUCGUGCGUCUGCAAUAUCAGCAUUUAGGAAACUUGGAAGAAAGUCUGUCCUAAAUUUGCUAAAAUGGCAAUGUGCACCACCUCUGUUUUCAGGAAAUCAGCCCCACUUCAGCGCAUUUUUCUCUCUCAAAAGGGCAGCAACUGCAGAAACAGGCCACAGAGACGGAUCCCGCCACUGCAGCUAAAGCAGCUUUUCUAGGCUCGAUGGUAAAUUUCUCCAGGUCCUGCAUGCUCCCUCAACUCCAAAGUCUUCUCUGCCACAAAGCUGCUGUGGUCAAACUUCAGAACUCGUAACUCACUUUUAACCUCUCCACCACAUUUAAUUCUUUUCUUGGGAGCUGUGGACCUUGUUUUAUCUCAUUCAACCUUUUUCCUAAAAAGAAGGAAAAUUUUAUUUA